This 1058-nucleotide long non-coding RNA is filed under the name Anser cygnoides (Swan goose). RNAcentral's name for it is "lncRNA (ENSACDG00005001556.1)". The record is from RNAcentral. Lineage: Eukaryota; Metazoa; Chordata; Aves; Anseriformes; Anatidae.
CUUCUGGCUUCCCGGUGGGGGUAUCCAAGGGUCCAUAAACCUCUGCUCUAAAUCGCUGUGUUCAUGGUUAACCUGGUGUAAUUAAUGUGAAAUUCAGCUCCAGAUAUCCAAAAUCUCUACGUGCCAUAAAUAAAUAAAUAAAUAAAUAAAUAAAUAAAAUAUGUGCUUAGAAUCAAGGAGGCAGGCCAGAUUUUCAUGUUAAUGGCUGACGGUGACCCCUCCAAAGGGCAUGCCAAGGGUGAGAGAGGGGAAGCUGUUUCUGACCCCCCAAGCAUAGUACAGGUACUUUCUGCCUCUGUUAUGUUGAAAUUGUGCUCUGAUGAACAAUGGAAAUCAAACAGUGCUACAAAGAGAAAGGAUAGGUAUGUGGAUGAGCAUAGCCCAGUAAUUGAUGGGGAAUGUCUGACACCUACAUUUCUGUUCCUUCCUUCAGGACUGUCUCUCUCUUCUUUUUUUUCUUUCUGCAUUUUUCACUUAAAUUGCCGUAUGCUAUAGCCUCAAGCUGGUGAAGUAAAUAUGAAAAAAAAUCUCAUUAUUCAUUAUGAAUUGUCCACACUUCUAAUAGUAUGGGUAUAUAGAUGCAGGGAGAGUAAUUUUCAUUAAUGCUUAUAAACCAACUUUGUUGUUGGGUUCUCAUAACAACAUAAAUAAUGAACAAUAAUGAACAAAAUUUGUUUUGGUUUAGACAUUUCACUGGAGCUAUAAUCAUGAAAUGAAAAUAUAGUUUUAUACAGUCUCAUUAGUUUUUUUUUGUUGUUGUUCUUUUCUUUUUCUUUAUUUUUUCUUUUCCAUAAAACAAAAUAUAAGCAAUGGGCUUUUCUGUUCCAAAGUAAUCAUUAUUUUUCAGUAUUUCAUUUUCUGCAGUUCUCUCAAAGUGUUCCUGAUAAUAUAGUUAAUCUAGGUAUUUUCAUUCUAGUGACAUAUUAUACGUUAAGUUAACCUUCAAUAUUACUAGGUAUAUUUUCAUAGUUCUAGCUCAGCACAAUUUCUCUUCACUUAACAAUUUCUAAUUUAAAGCUUUCUUUACAGUAAUAAAUUCUAACCUUUGCCUUCUGGCA